GGCCCGUAACACUGUUAGGAUCAGGGGUAGUUUUAUCUUUUCAUUUUGAUGAAAGGUUUUUUUUUUUUUUUUUUUCCCUUGUCUGAGAAUGUGAAUGAAUAGUCGAAAUAAAUUAAUUUGUAUUUUAAAAAUCGAUUUUCAAAAAUUAUCUUAUUUCUUUUGAAAUUUAAUCAGUGGUGAAAAUGGAUAGUGCUAUAUUCGAAUUGGAUCAAUCCACCUGGAUGAGAAAAGAUUGUAUGUCACCAUAAGUAGAUAUAAUAGAAGGGUUGACCUCCAGCGGUUUUUUCUCUCCCAUAUUUUUAUGCAAGGAAGAAUGUUGUCAGUCUAGUGUUUUUUAUGGGCCUAUUUGAUAACGUUUCGUUUCAAAUAUUUCUAUGUUUUUAUGUUUCUAGAAAUGAAGAAACAGAAACAAGUGAAGAAAUGGAUUUUGGAGUUGUGCCCGAUCAAAAAAGCUAUACUCACGCCCUCUCUUCUCAAACCUCAAACGACUCCACAGGUCUGCAACUCGAGUUGCAGCAGUAGCUCCGGUGAACCGUCUGCAAAUCUCACGACCGCAGGUUUGCAAAGGUGCUCUGGGUUUCCUCCUUCGCUGCUCUGCAAUAUUAUACAAGGUAUGCCCUUGCUCUUCCAAAGAACCCCUUCUCUUCCCAAUAACUAUUGAACCCUAACACCUAUUGUUCCCACUCUAUCCACGACGCAUACCUCCGGCAAAGAAUCCGAGUAUAGGCCACGAGAUGCUGGUGGGCCACCGAUCCCUUUCAUAAAACCGGUUUUGAGAUGGAUUUAUGGUAAGGCAGCGUCCUUGGUGGGAUUGAAUCCCUCUGAAGUGUUUGCAUUGCAGAAAACCUGAAUUGGUCAGGUAAUGUUUGGUUCCAGGUCUGGCCAGCUUCUCUUAUUGUAGCUUGAGUUCUCGCAAGUCCUGCUUCAAGCCUCUCCAAUCUAUUGUAUUCCUUCAGCAUUUUGUGAUCAGGGGAGAAGCAUUGGACUUGUUCUUGGGUUUCCUCAUCCUGCAAAAAUUAAUUGAAAUUCAAAAUUAAUUAGCAGAAAAUUAAACUCAAAAAGGGAACUAAAUAAUAAGAAAAUGAUUCAGAGAUAAAGAGAGAGGUCUUACAAGCUGUGAAGCUGGUUCCUGGUUUUGGUAAUUUGUGUGUCAGGGGGAGGGUAAGGAGAAGACGAAGAAGAAGAAGAAGAAUUGAAGGUAGGAUAACGAGAAAGAGGUCCUUGAGUUUCUGUAGGAUGAGCAUCAACCGCUAUUCGAUGAAAAUCCAGGUGUCUCAUAGUUUCUUCUUUAGGCUCAAGAGAUGAAGCAUUGGUUGAGGUUUAAAUGUGAUUUGUUGCAGGACAAGAACAUAGAAGCAGGUUUUGAGGAGAGAAGAACAUUUGUUGGUAAAGAUCUGGUGCCACCACGCCAAGCGUCCUCUUGUUUGGUCACUUGCUUACUGUGUUUCUAUGCAGAAAUUUAUAUUGUUUUAAACAAUAAAUUUAUGGAAGAAACAUUGUUAGAAACAA
Molecule: long non-coding RNA, 1509 nt
Organism: Macadamia integrifolia
Lineage: Eukaryota; Viridiplantae; Streptophyta; Magnoliopsida; Proteales; Proteaceae
Exons: 2
Source: RefSeq, a predicted model, not a curated record